GCCAGGCACAGUGGCGCACACCUGUAAUCCCAGCCGCUUGGGAGGCUGAGGCAGGAGGAUUGCAAGUUCAAAGCCAGCCUCAAUAACUUAGCAAGACCCUGUCUCUA
RNAcentral lists this small RNA (107 nucleotides) under Marmota monax (woodchuck). The record is from RNAcentral. Lineage: Eukaryota; Metazoa; Chordata; Mammalia; Rodentia; Sciuridae.